GAUGAACGCUGGCGGCGUGCCUAAUACAUGCAAGUCGAGCGAACAGACGAGGCUCUUGCGCCUUUCACGUUAGCCGCGCGCGUGAGUGACACACGUGUAUCAUCCCCUUAUCUGUCUGGUAUCAUCACGGGACAGCGGAUCUAAUAGCGUAUAAUAUCUUGAACCGCAUGGUUCGAUAGUGAAAGACGGCUUUGCUGUCUCUUCUCGCUGGAUCUGCGCCGCAUUAGCUAGUUGGUAAGGUAACGGCGUUCCAAGGCAACGAUGCGUAGCCGACGUGAGAGGGGGAUCGGCGACACUGGAGCGGGGACAGGGUCCAGAGGCCUGAGGGAGGCAGCAGUAGGGAAUCUUCCGCAAUAGGGGGAAGCUUGGCAGAGCGACGGCGCGUGAGAGAUGGAGGUCUUCGGAUCGUAAAACUCUGUUAUGGGGGAAGAACAGAUGUGUAAGGAACUGUGCACGGCUUGACGGUACCUAGUCAAGAAGCCCCGGCUAACUACGUG
RNAcentral lists this ribosomal RNA (497 nucleotides) under uncultured bacterium. RNAcentral describes it as "partial 16S ribosomal RNA". It matches the Rfam family "Bacterial small subunit ribosomal RNA", at positions 28 to 507 of the family's 1533-position model. The record is from RNAcentral.